UGAACGCUGGCGGCAUGCUUAACACAUGCAAGCCGAACGAUUGGCUUCUUUAUGGGGUUGAUAGUGGCGGACGGGUGAGUAACGCGUAAGUUAUCCACGCUUGGGAGAGGGACAACAAAUGGAAACGUUUGCUAAUACCUCGUAUUGCUUUCGAAAAGUAAAGAUUUUGGUUUUGCCAUUAUGCCUAAGCACGAGCUUGCGUCUGAUUAGCUUGUUGGUGGGUAAAGGCCUACCAAGGCAUUGAUCAGUAGCUGGUUUGAGAAAAUGAUCAGCCACACUGGAAUUGAGAUACGGAACAGACUCCUACGGGAGGCAGCAGUGGGGAAUAUUUCGCAAUGGGUGCAAGCCUGACGAAGCAAUGCCGCGUGGAGGAUGAAGGCCCUUGGGUUGUAAACUCCUUUCUCAUUGAAGAAGUUCUGACGGUAUUUGAGGAAUAAGCAUCGGCUAAUUUCGUGCCUGCAG
Molecule: ribosomal RNA, 462 nt
Filed under: uncultured Discoplastis
Lineage: Eukaryota; Euglenozoa; Euglenophyceae; Euglenales
Description: bacterial SSU rRNA
Rfam family: Bacterial small subunit ribosomal RNA
Source: RNAcentral